CAUGUUACUUGCGUGCUUACCAUGCAGUCGAGCGUAAGGCCCUUCGGGGUACACGAGCGGCGAACGGGUGAGUAACACGUGAGCAACCUGCCCCUGACUCCGGGAUAAGCCGGGGAAACCCGGUCUAAUACCGGAUGGGACGCCUCGUCGCAUGGCGGGGUGUGGAAAGGUGUCUUUCCGGUCAGGGAGGGGCUCGCGGCCUAUCAGCUUGUUGGUGGGGUGAAGGCCUACCAAGGCGAUUACGGGUAGCCGGCCUGAGAGGGCGACCGGCCACACUGGGACUGAGACACGGCCCAGACUCCUACGGGAGGCAGCAGUGGGGAAUAUUGCGCAAUGGGCGGAAGCCUGACGCAGCGACGCCGCGUGGGGGAUGACGGCCUUCGGGUUGUAAACCUCUUUUACCACCGACGCAGGCCCGCGCUUCUGUGCGGGUUGACGGUAGGUGGGGAAUAAGGACCGGCCAACUACGUGCCAGCAGCCGCGGUAAUACGUAGGGUCCGAGCGUUGUCCGGAAUUAUUGGGCGUAAAGAGCUCGUAGGUGGCGUGUCGCGUCUGCUGUGUAAGUCCGGGGCUUAACUCCGGUUUUGCAGUGGAUACGGGCAUGCUAGAGGUAGGCAGGGGAGACUGGAAUUCCUGGUGUAGCGGUGAAAUGCGCAGAUAUCAGGAGGAACACCGGUGGCGAAGGCGGGUCUCUGGGCCUUACCUGACGCUGAGGAGCGAAAGCGUGGGGAGCGAACAGGAUUAGAUACCCUGGUAGUCCACGCUGUAAACGUUGGGCGCUAGGUGUGGGGACUUUCCACGGGUUCCGUGCCGUAGCUAACGCAUUAAGCGCCCGCCUGGGGAGUACGGCCGCAGGCUAACUCAAAGGAAUUGACGGGGGCCCGCACAGCGGCUGAGCUUGUGCUUAAUCGACGCAACGCGAAGAACCUUUACCAAGGUUGG
Molecule: ribosomal RNA, 942 nt
Filed under: Streptomonospora sp. YIM 92066
Lineage: Bacteria; Bacillati; Actinomycetota; Actinomycetes; Streptosporangiales; Nocardiopsidaceae
Description: bacterial SSU rRNA
Rfam family: Bacterial small subunit ribosomal RNA
Source: RNAcentral